GUAAAAAGGUGUUACAGAUCGCAGUGGUAUUAACGUCGAAACUCCAGCUUUGUAGAAAACAGUUGAUAAUUCCACUAGUUUUUGAAGUGCAUGAUUGUUCUAGGGUCAAAUUUUCGUAAGCAAAAGUUGACACAUUUUUCCCGUUGAAAUGAGUUUGUAGGCACAAAGUGUCCAGUUCAUCGACCGAUUUUGCGGGACGACCAAGAAAUGUUUCGGCAUAUCGACGAACCAUUGCCUUAUUUCCGUACGUAAUGUAAUACGUCCUUGGCGUAUUUAACUAAAUACAACUGCAGGAGGAGGACUGUUACACGCACCUUCAGAAACUUUGUCAGACGGCAAGUAAAACGUGAGCUGGCCUUGUAUAUUGGCGACACAAUUUACCAACAAAAAAAUACCACAAACCCGAAAAUAUACAGGGAAAGUCAUUGUUCAAGCUUUCAAAUUUCUCUUAGUGAAUUUUUAAUGCUUUAAAAUUAAAACACGAGCUAAUUGUGUCUUCAGUGUAAGAGCAAAUGAUAACUGGAAUACAACAUUUCCAGUAAAUGUACAUAUGAACGAAUAAAUAUCUUAUGUAAUUUCUUACA
Long non-coding RNA from Folsomia candida, 584 nucleotides. RefSeq lists it as uncharacterized. The transcript has 2 exons. Lineage: Eukaryota; Metazoa; Arthropoda; Collembola; Entomobryomorpha; Isotomidae. The record is from RefSeq and is a predicted model, not a curated record.